UAGGGAAUCUUCGGCAAUGGACGAAAGUCUGACCGAGCAACGCCGCGUGAGUGAAGAAGGUUUUCGGAUCGUAAAACUCUGUUGUUAGAGAAGAACAAGGACGUUAGUAACUGAACGUCCCCUGACGGUAUCUAACCAGAAAGCCACGGCUAACUACGUGCCAGCAGCCGCGGUAAUACGUUGGUGGCAAGCGUUGUCCGGAUUUAUUGGGCGUAAAGCGAGCGCAGGCGGUCUCUUAAGUCUGAUGUGAAAGCCCCCGGCUCAACCGGGGAGGGUCAUUGGAAACUGGGAGACUUGAGUGCAGAAGAGGAGGGUGGAAUUCCAUGUGUAGCGGUGAAAUGCGUAGAUAUAUGGAGGAACACCAGUGGCGAAGGCGGCUCACUGGUCUGUAACUGACGCUGAGGCUCGAAAGCGUGGGGAGCGAACAGG
RNAcentral lists this ribosomal RNA (429 nucleotides) under Gemmatimonadota bacterium. RNAcentral describes it as "Gemmatimonadetes bacterium partial 16S ribosomal RNA". It matches the Rfam family "Bacterial small subunit ribosomal RNA", at positions 355 to 776 of the family's 1533-position model. Lineage: Bacteria; Pseudomonadati; Gemmatimonadota. The record is from RNAcentral.